This 565-nucleotide long non-coding RNA is filed under the name Equus asinus (donkey). Its description in RNAcentral is "lncRNA (ENSEASG00005030842.1)". The record is from RNAcentral. Lineage: Eukaryota; Metazoa; Chordata; Mammalia; Perissodactyla; Equidae.
CUCCCCCAGCUCAGCUUACGACCUCACCGUGUGACCUUUGGCCUACCUUGGUCAUCUCUCCAGGGGGCUGGGUCCAGUGGGCUUUUGGAGGUGGCAGAAUAUGUAGAUGUGGUGUGGCAGGACAGCACAGUGGUGCCAAACAGCAGCUCCAGGCUACCCAAAUUGGAUCCCAACUCUGGCGCAGAUGGGGAAACUGAGACUGAGGUUAAACGACUCACUCAAGGUCCAGCAGGUGGCCUGGGGCCCUGUGUUCACCAGACAUGGAACCAACGCCAGAAAGACUAGAGCUACACAAGCACCAUCCCAUUCGGGGCAAGCCCAGCCCAGUGGGCUGAGAGCAGAGACCAUGUUCCUUCAAGUAUCCUGGAAGCUCGACCACAAGAAAGCAACACUUCAGCUACAGCGUGCCUUGCUGUCACCUGUUAAUGCAUGUACACAUCCAUAUGGGUGUGCGCACAAAACACCGUGAAAUAAAAAUGCCUCUCAGAUGUACUGCCCUAUAAUGAAUCAAUAUUGUCUGGGCAGCUCAAAAAGAAGUAUGGCAUACCUAUUUAUUAAGUCCAAA